This is a non-coding RNA of Acanthosepion pharaonis, 109 nucleotides long. The record is from the annotation of a GenBank genome assembly. Lineage: Eukaryota; Metazoa; Mollusca; Cephalopoda; Sepiida; Sepiidae.
UUACGGUCAUAGCAUCUCGAAACGCUGGUUCUCGUAUGAUCACUGAAGUUAAGCAACGUCGAACCUGGUCAGUACAUAGAUGGGUGACCGCUUGGGAAUGCCAAGUGCU